RNAcentral lists this ribosomal RNA (395 nucleotides) under marine Metazoa environmental sample. RNAcentral's name for it is "SSU rRNA". It matches the Rfam family "Eukaryotic small subunit ribosomal RNA", at positions 587 to 972 of the family's 1831-position model. Lineage: Eukaryota; Metazoa. The record is from RNAcentral.
AGCUCCAAUAGCGUAUAUUAAAGUUGUUGCAGUUAAAAAGCUCGUAGUUGGAUCUCAGGCGCAGGCGGGCGGUCCGGCUCGCGCCGGCUCACUGCUCGUUUAACCUGCCCUACCCUCUGCCGGCUCCCUCCCGUGGGUGCUCUUCGCUGAGCGUCCCGGGUGGCCGGCGCGUUUACUUUGAAAAAAUUAGAGUGUUCAAAGCAGGCCUAGUAAGCCUGAAUAAUGGUGCAUGGAAUAAUGGAAAAGGACCUCGGUUCUCAUUUUGUUGGUUUCCAGAACUGGAGGUAAUGAUUGACAGGGACAAACGGGGGCAUUCGUAUUGCGGCGUUAGAGGUGAAAUUCUUGGAUCGCCGCAAGACGAGCUACUGCGAAAGCAUUUGUCAAGAAUGUUUUCA